CUAGGAGUCUGGGAAGCAGUCGGUGGAGGUUUUCCGCGUCCGGGAGGCCGGGCUGACUUAGUCCUGGCUUUCCCCUGCUGGAAGGACCCCGGCCCGGACCUGUCUGAUCCUCGGUGGCCUGAGCCACCCCAAACUGACUCUCGGUGGCCUGAGCCCUUGACCUGCAAAGCAUCCAGAUUCAGGCUCCCUGCCUGCAGAGCAACACCGGGGUGGGCGCUGGAGGCCCUGAAGGCGGGCUCCUGGGUGGAGGCCACCCUCCCUCGGAGGCUGCCUCCUCCUGGGUGUGUGAGCUGCCUUGUCACCUGCGGCCCAGGACCCAGAACCGUCAUCCUCCUCUCUUCCCUACCCCCCCUUCCCCACAGUUUUUCCUACAAACCCCUCAAAUCACCCAUUACUUGGGCCUCCCUCUCACUCCCUACCGUUGUAGGUAAAGUUGAGGUUCCCUGGCACCCUACUUCCUGGACCGUGGUUCACCUUCCCUGUGCUUCUUCUCCCAGGUACAGUCCCCUCCCUGUCUCCCCACUGCCCAGGGAAGCUGCCCUCGAGUCUGAUGUGGUUUUCUGGCACCUUCCUUUGAAACCCUACCACCACCACCACCGCCACCACCCAGAUCUGUGGGACCCCCGUAGAGCCGGGCCAGGACUAGGGUGAGGAUAGUGAGGUGCCCAGGGUGCAAAAUUUAUGCAGACGUCCAUUCUCAGUGGCCACCCCGACGGGGAGUGUCUCCUUAACUAUGUGUCCAAGGUACCUCACUUGCCUCACCCUAGUCCCACACCUGUUGCAGAACACGGGAGAAAGAAAACCUGCUUGUGAAAGGAUGUUCCGGGGAUUACUGGGGUUCUGAGUAAUGUUCAUAGCAGCUACCCCUUAGGGAUCCUACAACAUCUCCCAGGAGCAAGGCUGUUGCCUAAACACAGCUGCGUGGGGUGUGCACUGAACAAGGGUGUGACGCCAAGGGGUAAGUGUGGCUGAAAUCCACCUGUCUCCACUCUGUGUGUCUGAGCGUGGGGCCUGCGUCACCCUGGAAAAGGGGGUACCUGGUGGUGUUUUAUCCGCUGGUGACGGAGGCUUUCAGUACCUCCCGCCAGAUAUGGAAUGUGCUAGUGAUGGCCCUGCAGACAGCAGGAAGCAAAGGUGACGUGAGAGGGAAGGCACUUGCCCUGGGACACAACAGCAGGGCACCAGGACCCGAGUUUCUUGAGUCUUCACUUCAUCUGCCCUUUACUUUUUACCGCUCAAGUACAAUAUGUUAGACGACUGAGUGCUCUGCACAGGCAGAGCUGAGUCUAAAGCAGAUGUCCCUUUUAUGCCCUUUCUUGCCUGCCCCUCCCCCGCCUUGCCAAGGCCGAGUUAAUUCCCUCCACGUCUUUUCAAGCAGCUUGGGCUCGCCUCUAAUCCCGCGUCUGUCCUCCCCACUGGACUGCGGAUUCCUAGAGGGCAGAGACUGUGUCCCGCGGCCUCAGUCUCAGCACACGGCCUGGUAAAUUCUAAGUGCGCUGGGCGUGCAUCACCCACAUUUCCUGGGACCCCUGGGGACCCAGGCUCGGUGCCACGAGGCCAGAGCACUUAAUAAGACACAGACCGUUAAGCAACAGUAAUUUAAAAAUAAUGCCAACUGUGACUUGUGUCCCUCUAACACCCUUACAAUCCUUUUCCCUCCGUGUCCCCGUCCCUUUCUCUCUCUCUUUUCCAUUUCAGGCCCUCUCCACCUAUUUUCUUGCUUCUGUGAUACAAAACCUGGAAACCAGGUUGUCCAAGAGCCGGAGUCACAUUCCAGAGGGAGGGCAGGUGUAGCGGAUCAGCCGGUUGUCCUCCAACCCUGUCCCCCUCUUCCUCACUGGCACGUGGCUGCUCUGCUAGACGUGAUGUUUCCCGGCCUCCCUGGCAGGAGUGGCCACGGGACUAAGUCCCGGCCGUCGGAACGUGAAUGCAAGCGAGGGAGGCCACUUUGAGGCCGAGGCCUUAAGUCACCCGGUGCCUUCUUUUUCCUCUCUGCUUGGCUGCAGCCAGCCGUGGCGACAACCCCCAAAGGGGGCGAUGAAGCUUAUGGGAUGGAAGAGUCCCACCGCGGAAGGGUCUCUGAAUGGCCAGGGCCUCCUGUAUGAGAGACGGUGUCCUCGCACGGGGCCUGCUGUGCGAGAGGUCGGGACACUUCUAUAUUCCUUACGCUGUUCUGUGUUGGGGUGUCUUUGCCCCAGCGGAGAGCAGUGUAGGCUUUCCCGUAAGUAAGAGAGCCAGGAAGGGGAGAGGCUGGCUGAGCAGUUACAACCAGAAUCUUCUCCAGGAGAAAGGGCGAGCGGAGUCCGGGCCUCCCACACGACGGGCUCUGUCCCAUCACACGCUUGGUGGAAGGACGGAACGGCCAGGGGUGCUCCCAGCAGAAACGAAUGAUGACGGUUUCUUGUGUAACCAAAGGGGAAGGGGAAAGAACGGGGUCACCUGGCAUCCGGGUUCAGCGCUGUCAGAGCCUCAAAAGCAACAGAAACAACCUCCGUUCCAUCCGCCACUGUUCUACAGGACUCUUACCUACCCUGCCGGCCUUCCCCGAGGGGAGGGCAACAGCAGGCCCCCUGCUUUCACAGGGGCCUCCCCAGAGGAGAGUGGGAGGCUUGCCCAAGGUCACCCCGGCUGUUAGAGGCGGAAGGGCCAUGGAAACCCCAAGAAGGGAUUUGGAGCCAAAAAGGAUUUGAACCUGGGAGCAGAUGGGGAAACCAGCAAGGGAACCCUCCCCAGGUGGAAAGAUUAACUCAAGAAGCUGUGGCCAAAGACAAUGGAUGGAAAUGACCUAAGGAACUGCAGGAAGGAGAGAAGCCUGCGGUCCAGGCACCUGGCGGGGUUCCUCACAGCCUGCUGAGCGGCCACCAUUCACACUGACGGUGGCGUGCUAGGGCUGGAGGAAGACGCCAAGGCUGAAACACUGAGGUCUGAAAAGGAAAUGCAGGAACCACAAAGUUCUGUGAAUUGUCUGAGCCAAAAGAGACAAAAUGGCCUUGGGGAGGGCCUGGAGCCCAGACGGCCAGGGGGAAGGAAAACCUGAUGGGCCUCCAAUCUUCCCAGGUAACGUCCUUUCUUUUCAACAUUCCCUGCACAUUUAUGGAGCACCGAUAGUAUACCGUGCACCUCUGUACCCUAGGGAUACAGCCAUGAACCAAACAGGAAAAACAAAACAGGGGCCCCACCUGCUAGUGGGGGAAGCAGACAGUAAAACACAACCACAAGAAAUAAGUCAAUUCUGUAGUGUCAAGAUGCAGUAAGAACAGAAAAACAAAAAUAAAAACGAAAAACGAUGGGACCAGGAGUGACGGAGAUGAGACAGACUGCGUAAUUUGCAGAGCCCAGCGCAGAACGAAAACGCGGGGCCCUUGUUCCAAAGGCAGAGAAAAGAGCUGUUAAAGGUUUGAAGGAUGGGAAGUCCAAGAUCAAGGUGCCCGCCAAUUCAGUUCCUGGCUUGGGGGUCACGGAAGUGGAAGGUCCUGGGACCCAUAUCCGAGAACUAUGUAAGUAUUUCGGCGAGAUUGCUACUAUAUGCGUUUUUACAAAUUGCCCUGGAGCAAAUGCUUCUCAAACCAUCUGUGGAGAAGGACCAUUUUUGAAAAAAAUUCUAAUCUGUCCCAGACUAAUACUUUUGUAAAG
Long non-coding RNA from Prionailurus viverrinus (fishing cat), 3633 nucleotides. RefSeq lists it as uncharacterized. The record is from RefSeq and is a predicted model, not a curated record. The transcript is spliced from 3 exons. NCBI's taxonomy places the organism in Eukaryota, Metazoa, Chordata, Mammalia, Carnivora, Felidae.